Molecule: ribosomal RNA, 254 nt
Filed under: uncultured bacterium
Lineage: Bacteria
Description: partial 16S ribosomal RNA
Rfam family: Bacterial small subunit ribosomal RNA
Source: RNAcentral
UACGUAGGGUGCGAGCGUUGUCCGGAAUUAUUGGGCGUAAAGAGCUCGUAGGCGGUGUGUCGCGUCGGCCGUGAAAACCUGGGGCUUAACUCUGGGCGUGCGGUCGAUACGGGCAUCACUAGAGUUCGGCAGGGGAGACUGGAAUUCCUGGUGUAGCGGUGAAAUGCGCAGAUAUCAGGAGGAACACCGGUGGCGAAGGCGGGUCUCUGGGCCGAUACUGACGCUGAGGAGCGAAAGCCAGGGGAGCGAACGGG